UCUCCGUUGGUGAACCAGCGGAGGGAUCAUUACCGAAGUUACCCUUCGAAACCCAUUGUGAACCAUACCUCUUGCCGCGUUGUCUCGGCGGGAGGCGCGGGGGCCUCGGCUCCGCGUCCCCGCCGGCAGCGCCAAACUCUAAACUGCAAAGCGAACUGCAGGUUCUGAUUUACAAAAAAAACAAGUUAAAACUUUCAACAACGGAUCUCUUGGUUCUG
This 218-nucleotide unclassified non-coding RNA is filed under the name plant metagenome. RNAcentral's name for it is "partial contains small subunit ribosomal RNA, internal transcribed spacer 1, and 5.8S ribosomal RNA". The record is from RNAcentral.